RNAcentral lists this ribosomal RNA (394 nucleotides) under uncultured bacterium. RNAcentral's name for it is "bacterial SSU rRNA". It matches the Rfam family "Bacterial small subunit ribosomal RNA", at positions 504 to 896 of the family's 1533-position model. The record is from RNAcentral.
CGUGCCAGCAGCCGCGGUAAUACGGGGGGUGCAAGCGUUGUUCGGAUUUAUUGGGCGUAAAGCGCGUGUAGGCGGUUUCUUAAGUCUGAUGUGAAAGCCCUGGGCUCAACCCAGGAAGUGCAUUGGAUACUGGGAGACUUGAAUACGGGGGAGGGUAGUGGAAUUCCUAGUGUAGGAGUGAAAUCCGUAGAUAUUAGGAGGAACACCGGUGGCGAAGGCGGCUACCUGGACCGAUAUUGACGCUGAGACGCGAAAGCGUGGGGAGCAAACAGGAUUAGAUACCCUGGUAGUCCACGCCGUAAACGAUGAGAACUAGGUGUUGCGGGUAUUGACCCCUGCAGUGCCGCAGCUAACGCAUUAAGUUCUCCGCCUGGGAAGUACGGUCGCAAGACUA